RNAcentral lists this transfer RNA (70 nucleotides) under Osteobrama cotio cotio. RNAcentral describes it as "tRNA-Arg". It matches the Rfam family "tRNA". From Rfam's summary of the family: Transfer RNA (tRNA) molecules are approximately 80 nucleotides in length. Their secondary structure includes four short double-helical elements and three loops (D, anti-codon, and T loops). The record is from RNAcentral. Lineage: Eukaryota; Metazoa; Chordata; Actinopteri; Cypriniformes; Cyprinidae.
AGGGAGCUAGUCCAAGAUAAGACCUCUGAUUUCGGCUCAGAAGAUCAUGGUUUAAUUCCAUGCCUCCCUU